UACGGAGGAUGCGAGCGUUAUCCGGAUUCAUUGGGUUUAAAGGGUGCGUAGGUGGAAUAAUAAGUCAGUGGUGAAAGCUUGCGGCUUAACCGUAAAAUUUCCGUUGAUACUGUUAUUCUUGAGUAUAGUUGAAGUAGGCGGAAUGUGUAAUGUAGCGGUGAAAUGCUUAGAUAUUACACAGAACACCAAUUGCGAAGGCAGCUUACUAAGCUGUUACUGACGCUGAGGCACGAAAGUGUGGGGAGCAAACAGGAUUAGAUACCCCUGUAGU
RNAcentral lists this ribosomal RNA (271 nucleotides) under uncultured prokaryote. RNAcentral's name for it is "partial 16S ribosomal RNA". It matches the Rfam family "Bacterial small subunit ribosomal RNA", at positions 524 to 794 of the family's 1533-position model. The record is from RNAcentral.